Anas platyrhynchos (mallard) is the source of this 3731-nucleotide long non-coding RNA. RefSeq lists it as uncharacterized. The record is from RefSeq and is a predicted model, not a curated record. NCBI's taxonomy places the organism in Eukaryota, Metazoa, Chordata, Aves, Anseriformes, Anatidae.
GCCCUGAAGGCACUGAUAAGGCCUUAAUGGUCCUGACCAGCCUCACCUGGGGCCUCCACCUCCACCCUCUUCCCAUGGCCUCAGGAGCUCCAUUUAAGCUUAGCCCUGGCCACUUGGCUGCUUUCUGCCUGUCUCCAGUCCUGCUCCUGGUCCUGCCUCUGGGAUAGACCUCAAGCCUUUGUGAUGGAUCGUGUUUACUGCUGCUGGUGAUGUGGAGGCAGGCUCCUUCCCAUGGGCUGAAGUGACUUCGUGGUCCCCUUUGGAGCAUCCUGUGCUUCCAGUCGUGGCUCAGCUGUCGUGAGCAACCCAUGAGCUCACUGCAUGCUGUGGGGUUUCUCAUGGAGAUUUGUCCUCUUCUCCCCUGGGCUGUGAAAGGUUGGGCAGGGCUGCUCCCAGCAUGGGGCUGGGCAUCACUCCCACCUCCACCUUCCUGCGCAACUCUUGGCAUCAGGCUGUGAAGCUGGGAGUGGUGCUGGCAGCAUGCCUGUCAGAUAAUGUCCUGCUCCUCAGUGCCCCAGAUCUCUGCUCUUCUAUGCCCUAAAACAGCCCUUCUUGAUGCCCUAGAUCCUAGCUCCUUGGUCACCUAGCCCUCUGCUCCUCUAUGCCCUCGAGUUCUGCUUCUUGCUUAACCUACAUCGUGGCUCCUCGACUGCCAUCAUCUCUGCUCCUCCAUGCCCUACAUCUCAGCUCUUUGCCCACAUCCUGGCUCUCUGUUCCUUGAUUAUCUAGAUCUCUGCCCUAGAUUUACACUUAUCAGUGCCCUAGAUCUCUGCUUGCUGCAAAGACCGUGCCUCUCCCAGCUGAUGGCUCCUGCACUGCUUCCAGCUCUUUGACAGCAACUGGAUGCCUUCCCCUUGGGAUUUGGCUGUGGUGAGCGCCUGUCCCAUCCGUAAAGUAACACAAACAUUUCUGCCCUCUGUUGUGUACAUUUAAACCAUGGUGCCCGUGGGACAGCUGUCUCUCCAGCACUGUGUGUUUGGGGUGUGCAUUCCCAAAUGAUGAGGAUGGGGGAAGGUGCAGGAGCUGGGAGCUGGCUGAGCAUCCUGAUGGCCCCUCUGCCCCCAGCGACCUUGGGCUUGCCUCUCACAGCUCAUUACAGCCUGCCUUUGAUCACUCGUCUCUCCCCCUCUCUGCACUUGGAAAUGCUGGAGAGCCUUCCUGCCUGAUAUUAUCGAAAAGGACAUUUUUAUUUCCAAAAUAUACAGUGUAAUUAGAACUGCAAAGGGAGAGAGCAGACAGUUCAUAAAAACACCCGCUCUGCGACAGUCUCUGUCCUGACCCCGUGGGAACCGGGGACAAAAGACUCCUGGGUCUCAGUGGGAACAGGGCAGUUUCCCAAACAAUGGGGAUCCCCCUCAGGUCCCAGCCAAAAAGGAAUUCCUCCUCUGCGUGGGAAGGGUUUGGUGUGGAAAUGAUCUCACACACAGUUGAGCAUGUUUUGCCAAGCUGGGACCCGUUGCAAGCAUCUAUUGAGUAACUGCAAGCAGCAGCAGAGCAAGCCUCAUCUAUCCUCAUGCACGCACACCUGAUUGAGUGGCUGAAGGCCCCACUGUUACCCAGAGCAUUGCUAGUACAUGCUCUAAAGGUGAAUUUGGAGUUUUCCAAGGCUCUCUCCUGCAGACAAUGGGGCAGGUCCAUCCCACAGAGCAGGAGGACAGCGAUUCACCCCUCUGCCGGCUGCUGGCUGUGGGCAGGGGCUGCCUAAGGAAUACCGAGGUCCAGCAGCUCCUGUCUCUACAGGAAACAGCCAACAUCUUAAAAAUUGAUGGGGGUUCAUUUCCUGCCUCUGUGCACUUAAAGCACCAGCUCUGCCAUUACCAGCAAUGUCCACAUUAAUUACUAUCAGAGCCCGAGUACUUUUGUGUGCGCUGCCUCGCCUGCAGAGUCUGUCCCAGCAGUGACCUGCAUUUUGUUCCCCUUGAGACCUUGCCCAUGGCUGGGAUUUCCAGAGCUGCUGCAGGCACGAGAACAAGGCUGGUGCUGGGGUAGCCCCUGGGGAGGAGGAGAGGCAGGAGGAAAGGCAGAGUGGUCAGCUCUGGUCCAGGCUCAGAGGCUCACCUGGAGCAUGGGGGUUUCCUUUGCCCCCUCCCUGGAUCUCCCUGAGCAGCAGCACCUCUGGGGCUGGGGCUUCUCCACUUCGAGUAAAUGACAAAUGUUCAUUGGGAGCAAGAGGCUUACUCCACGGCGGGGUGGUGGAAGUGCUUCCCCCAGGAUGCAUCAAGUCCCUUUAGAUCUGAGCCCCAGGAGCCAGCCUUCAGCUUUCCACCAGUAAGUCCUUCUGGACAGAAACCUCCAGUUUUUAACAGAAAAAAAUCUAGGCAUGGAAAAAUGCCUAGCUCCUAGGGGUGGGGCCAGGCCAUGCUGGUCUGCUUUUCAGUACCCUGCGGACUGCAGAAAAUUACUAAUUCUCGUCUUUUUUUCCUUUCCUUUCCUUUUUUUUUUUUUUUCCAUGAAAUGAUGAUUAUCCAGUGUUAAACACAAAUGUGUCUUAGACUGUGAAAUGAUGUGCAUGAAAGAGAUAAAACACUAAAAACUUAAGAGGCAAUGGGAGCCAGCAACUUAAAGGAUCAUUGAAAAGCCCUCUUCAGCACAGACCAAAUGGCAUCCAACCCAUGUAUCACACAGCCUUGUCAAAAGCCUGACCAAGGGUGUACUUCGAGUACAUGAACCCACCAAAAUGAGGACUGGGAGGAGACUGACAAGACACAACCUACACUCAGGACACUUCACUGCUGCCAUUUUCAGUUCACCUCCAAACCCCAUGGGAGCCACCAGGCCUGCUGGUGAUUGGUGGCAAAGCCUCAGAAAAAGGUCUAGGAAUUAUAUCGGGUUAGGGCUGGGUGUGAGUUAUCAGUGUCACAUCAAGAGGCAGACAGCGCCUGGGGUGUGCGAGCAGCAGCGCAGCCUACAAGGCUCUCUACAUCAUCUUUCUGUCCCGUUCAGAGCUGGUGAGGUCUGUGCUGGAGCAGGGUCUGAACUCAUAUCAAAAGGGAGGCAGCGCUGCUGCAGACAGCACGGGGGAAACACUGAGAAUGAUCAGAGGUCUAGGAGACAUGACCUACAAAGAAAGAUUGAAAGAACUGGGUUAUUUAGCCUAAAAGAGAUGAUGGAAGAAGAGAUGUGAUAACAGUCUUCAAGUGCUUAAAAGGCGGCUGCCAAGAGGAAGAGAAUAAUCUGUUCUUUAUGUCCAUGGUGGACAGGACAAGAAAUAAUCGGCUUAAAUUACAGCGAGAGAAAUCAGUCACCCUGUUGCAAGACAGAGCCGAGCACCCAGCCACACCACACAGACAAGCCAAAAUAACACCAUCCAAACAGCACCUGCUUGAUAACCUCCGUGCUCAAAACAUCAAUGCGAUUGAGCUCUCCCCUCCAAACAAUUAGGUGGAGUUGAACCACAGCUUUCUGAGCAGACAGACUUGCCCUGAGAUGUUUUUGAAUCGGCUCAGAGGAUUCUUGCCACCGGAGAGGCAAGAAGAAAGAAAAACCAGGCAGCCACGUGUCUGGGAGCAGCGCUGCUCGAGCUGCUUCCAGCGGCAGCUCUGCGGUGCUGAGUGCGCACCACUGGCUGAAGACUGAGAGAUGCUGUGUUCUGGGGAGAAAUUAUUAUUACCCCCCGGAUUCCAAAAGCAAUCCUUUAUUUUAAAACCUGCCUCCUAAUUCAUUUUAUAUUUACCCAUAAAAUCUUGGCCGGGGUUUCUGAGAGCUGCAGUCUCUCAGAAAGGCCAAGUUUC